UACGGGAGGCAGCAGCAGGGAAUAUUGCGCAAUGAGCGAAAGCUUGAGCGCAGCGACACCGCGUGUGGGAUGACGGAUCUAGGUUUGUAAACCACUUUCAGGAGGGAAGAAAAUGACGGUACCUCCACAAGAAGCCCCGGCCAACUACGUGCCAGCAGCCGCGGUAAUACGUAGGGGGCGAGCGUUGUCCGGAUUUAUUGGGCGUAAAGAGCUCGUAGGCGGUUCAACAAGUCGGUCGUGAAAGUUCAGGGCUCAACCCUGAAAUGUCGAUCGAUACUGUUGUGACUAGGAUCACGGUAGAGGUGAGUGGAAUUCCGAGUGUAGCGGUGAAAUGCGUAGAUAUUCGGAGGAACACCAAUUGCGAAGGCAGCUCACUGGGCCGCUAUCGACGCUGAGGAGCGAAAGCUAGGGGAGCAAACAGGAUUAGAUACCCAUGGUAGUCCUAGC
This 447-nucleotide ribosomal RNA is filed under the name uncultured Actinomycetes bacterium. RNAcentral describes it as "bacterial SSU rRNA". It matches the Rfam family "Bacterial small subunit ribosomal RNA", at positions 340 to 800 of the family's 1533-position model. Lineage: Bacteria; Bacillati; Actinomycetota; Actinomycetes. The record is from RNAcentral.